UUCCGUAGGUGAACCUGCGGAGGGAUCAUUACACAAAUAUGAAGGCGGGCUGGAAUCUCUCGGGGUUACAGCCUUGCUGAAUUAUUCACCCUUGUCUUUUGCGUACUUCUUGUUUCCUUGGUGGGUUCGCCCACCACUAGGACAAACAUAAACCUUUUGUAAUUGCAAUCAGCGUCAGUAACAAAUUAAUAACUACAACUUUCAACAACGGAUCUCUUGGUUCUGGCAUCGAUGAAGAACGCAGCGAAAUGCGAUAAGUAGUGUGAAUUACAGAAUUCAGUGAAUCAUCGAAUCUUUGAACGCACAUUGCGCCCUUUGGUAUUCCAAAGGGCAUGCCUGUUCGAGCGUCAUUUGUACCCUCAAGCUUUGCUUGGUGUUGGGCGUCUUGUCUCUAGCUUUGCUGGAGACUCGCCUUAAAGUAAUUGGCAGCCGGCCUACUGGUUUCGGAGCGCAGCACAAGUCGCACUCUCUAUCAGCAAAGGUCUAGCAUCCAUUAAGCCUUUUUUCAACUUUUGACCUCGGAUCAGGUAGGGAUACCCGCUGAACUUAAGCAUAUCAAUAAGCGGAGGA
RNAcentral lists this ribosomal RNA (570 nucleotides) under uncultured fungus. RNAcentral's name for it is "eukaryotic LSU rRNA". The stretch from base 197 to 350 matches the Rfam family "5.8S ribosomal RNA". Lineage: Eukaryota; Fungi. The record is from RNAcentral.